This 57-nucleotide transfer RNA is filed under the name Trichuris suis (pig whipworm). RNAcentral describes it as "tRNA-His". Lineage: Eukaryota; Metazoa; Nematoda; Enoplea; Trichinellida; Trichuridae. The record is from RNAcentral.
AUUGUUAUAGUUUAAAUUAAAAUAUUGAAUUGUGGUUUCAAAGUUAUCUAACAAUAA